This 430-nucleotide ribosomal RNA is filed under the name Phytopythium mercuriale. RNAcentral's name for it is "5.8S rRNA". The stretch from base 1 to 153 matches the Rfam family "5.8S ribosomal RNA". The record is from RNAcentral. Lineage: Eukaryota; Oomycota; Peronosporomycetes; Pythiales; Pythiaceae.
CUUUCAGCAGUGGAUGUCUAGGCUCGCACAUCGAUGAAGAACGCUGCGAACUGCGAUACGUAAUGCGAAUUGCAGGAUUCAGUGAGUCAUCGAAAUUUUGAACGCAUAUUGCACUUUCGGGUUCUGCCUGGAAGUAUGUCUGUAUCAGUGUCCGUACACUAAAGUUGCCUUUCUUGCGUCGUGUAGUCGUCGCUUGGAACGAGCAGAUGUGAGGUGUCUUGCGUGGUGGUGUUUGUGCUGCUGGCGUAAAGUAGUCGUGCAAGUCCCUUUAAAGUCGGACGUGUUUUCUCUGUAGUGUGCUGUGGCAGCUUUGGUGGCAUGCGGGACGUAGUCUGUUGACGAGUCUGGCGACCUUUGGCGCUUGCAUUGUGGGGAUUCCUCGAUUGGCGGUAUGUUAGGCCUCGGCUUUGACAAUGCAGCUUAUUGUGUG